AACGAACGCUGGCAGCAUGCCUAACACAUGCAAGUCGAACGAGACCUUCGGGUCUAGUGGCGCACGGGUGCGUAACGCGUGGGAAUCUGCCCUUGGGUUCGGAAUAACAGUUGGAAACGACUGCUAAUACCGGAUGAUGACGUAAGUCCAAAGAUUUAUCGCCCAAGGAUGAGCCCGCGUAGGAUUAGCUAGUUGGUGAGGUAAAGGCUCACCAAGGCGACGAUCCUUAGCUGGUCUGAGAGGAUGAUCAGCCACACUGGGACUGAGACACGGCCCAGACUCCUACGGGAGGCAGCAGUGGGGAAUAUUGGACAAUGGGCGAAAGCCUGAUCCAGCAAUGCCGCGUGAGUGAUGAAGGCCUUAGGGUUGUAAAGCUCUUUUACCCGGGAUGAUAAUGACAGUACCGGGAGAAUAAGCUCCGGCUAACUCCGUG
This 433-nucleotide ribosomal RNA is filed under the name uncultured bacterium. RNAcentral describes it as "partial 16S ribosomal RNA". It matches the Rfam family "Bacterial small subunit ribosomal RNA", at positions 29 to 507 of the family's 1533-position model. The record is from RNAcentral.